RNAcentral lists this ribosomal RNA (888 nucleotides) under uncultured bacterium. RNAcentral describes it as "bacterial SSU rRNA". It matches the Rfam family "Bacterial small subunit ribosomal RNA", at positions 33 to 915 of the family's 1533-position model. The record is from RNAcentral.
ACGCUGGCGGCAGGCCUAACACAUGCAAGUCGAGCGGAAACACAAGGAGCUUGCUCCUGAGGUGUCGAGCGGCGGACGGGUGAGUAAUACCUAGGUAUCUGCCCAAUCGUGGGGGAUAACAGUUGGAAACGACUGCUAAUACCGCAUACGCCCUACGGGGGAAAGGAGGGGACCUUCGGGCCUUCCGCGAUUGGAUGAACCUAGGCGGGAUUAGCUAGUUGGUGAGGUAAUGGCUCACCAAGGCGACGAUCCCUAGCUGGUCUGAGAGGAUGAUCAGCCACACUGGAACUGAGACACGGUCCAAACUCCUACGGGAGGCAGCAGUGGGGAAUAUUGGACAAUGGGGGCAACCCUGAUCCAGCCAUGCCGCGUGUGUGAAGAAGGCCCUCGGGUUGUAAAGCACUUUCAGCGAGGAAGAACGCCUAGCGGUUAAUACCCGCUAGGAAAGACAUCACUCGCAGAAGAAGCACCGGCUAACUCCGUGCCAGCAGCCGCGGUAAUACGGAGGGUGCAGGCGUUAUCGGAAUUACUGGGCGUAAAGCGCGCGUAGGUGGCUUGAUAAGCCGGUUGUGAAAGCCCCGGGCUCAACCUGGGAACGGCAUCCGGAACUGUCAAGCUAGAGUGCAGGAGAGGAAGGUAGAAUUCCCGGCGUAGCGGUGAAAUGCGUAGAGAUCGGGAGGAAUACCAGUGGCGAAGGCGGCUUCUGGACUGACACUGACACUGAGGUGCGAAAGCGUGGGUAGCAAACAGGAGUUAGAUACCCUGGUAGUCCCCGCCGUAAACGAUGUCGACCAGCCGUUGGGUGCUAGCGCACUUUGUGGCGAAGUUAACGCGAUAAGUCGACCGCCUGGGGAGUACGGCCGCAAGGUAAAACUCAAAUGAAUGACG